GCCUGGAUGGUGGAACUGGUAGACACGCUAGACUCAAAAUCUGGUUUCUGCAAGGAAGUGGGGGUUCGAGUCCCCCUCCAGGCA
This 84-nucleotide transfer RNA is filed under the name Patescibacteria group bacterium. RNAcentral's name for it is "tRNA-Leu". It matches the Rfam family "tRNA". From Rfam's summary of the family: Transfer RNA (tRNA) molecules are approximately 80 nucleotides in length. Their secondary structure includes four short double-helical elements and three loops (D, anti-codon, and T loops). The record is from RNAcentral.